UUAAGCAUAUCAAUAAGCGGAGGAAAAGAAACCAACAGGGAUUGCCCUAGUAACGGCGAGUGAAGCGGCAACAGCUCAAAUUUGAAAUCUGGCUCCUUCGGGGCCCGAGUUGUAAUUUGUAGAGGGUGCUUUGGCGUUGGCCAUGGUCUAAGUUCCUUGGAACAGGACGUCACAGAGGGUGAGAAUCCCGUACGUGGCCGUUGGUCUUCGCCAUGUAAAGCCCCUUCGACGAGUCGAGUUGUUUGGGAAUGCAGCUCUAAAUGGGAGGUAAAUUUCUUCUAAAGCUAAAUAUUGGCCAGAGACCGAUAGCGCACAAGUAGAGUGAUCGAAAGAUGAAAAGCACUUUGGAAAGAGAGUCAAAAAGCACGUGAAAUUGUUGAAAGGGAAGCGCUUGCAGCCAGACUUGCUCGUAGUUGCUCAUCUAGGCUUCUGCCUGGUGCACUCUUCUGCGAGCAGGCCAGCAUCAGUUCAGGCGGUCGGAUAAAGGUCUUGGGAAUGUGGCUCUCUUCGGGGAGUGUUAUAGCCUAGGGCGUAAUGCGACCAGUCUGGACUGAGGUUCGCGCAUCUGCUAGGAUGCUGGCGUAAUGGCUGUAAGCGGCCCGUCUUGAAACACGGACCAAGGAGUCUAACAUCUAUGCGAGUGUUUGGGUGUCAAGCCCGAGCGCGCAAUGAAAGUGAACGGAGGUGGGAACCCGCAAGGGUGCACCAUCGACCGAUCCUGAUGUCUUCGGAUGGAUUUGAGUAAGAGCAUAGCUGUUGGGACCCGAAAGAUGGUGAACUAUGCCUGAAUAGGGUGAAGCCAGAGGAAACUCUGGUGGAGGCUCGCAGCGGUUCUGACGUGCAAAUCGAUCGUCAAAUUUGGGCAUAGGGGCGAAAGACUAAUCGAACUAUCUAGUAGCUGGUUCCUGCCGAAGUUUCCCUCAGGAUAGCAGUAACGUUUUCAGUUUUAUGAGGUAAAGCGAAUGAUUAGAGGCCUGGGGGUUGAAACAACCUUCACCUAUUCUCAAACUUUAAAUAUGUAAGAAGUCCUUGUUACUUAAUUGAACGUGGACAUUUGAAUGUACCGUUACUAGUGGGCCAUUUUUGGUA
RNAcentral lists this ribosomal RNA (1089 nucleotides) under Lindgomyces cinctosporus. Its description in RNAcentral is "eukaryotic LSU rRNA". It matches the Rfam family "Eukaryotic large subunit ribosomal RNA", at positions 34 to 1142 of the family's 3401-position model. The record is from RNAcentral. Lineage: Eukaryota; Fungi; Ascomycota; Dothideomycetes; Pleosporales; Lindgomycetaceae.